GAGAUUAUUGUUUGAGUUCCCAGUAUUUAACGGCUGGGUUCGCAGUGGGGCAACUGAAUUCAGCAGCAGUGUUGUUCUGGCCAGUUAUUCGGUGGGAAUGUCGACCUGAGCAACAACACCGUGAAAAAGCCAGAGGGCCUGUAGAAGCAGCCGGAAUCAACGGAGCACAGACAAUUCAGAUUCUUCAUCCAGGGACUGCUGCCGCACUGAAGCCAAGACUCACUAACAGCCACUGCUAGGAAGGUGACAACACCUCACGAUAAACUCUUGACAAUCAUAUAACUCUGCUGGCAGUCGGCUUAGGAGAUCAGAGAAAUGGAAUAGGAACUUUCGUGGUAUCCCUUGUAGGAGAAAAGAUUAAAGUGUAGCACAGAACAGAGCUCCUUUUGUGGCAAGGCCAAAGAACGUCAAUGCAACAACCAAACACCAUAUGCCAGGAAACCUGAACAUUCUGUUAGGCACAAACCCCGUUGGAGGACAAAUUCACCUCAAAUAUGGAUGUCAGAAGAAGAAAACGACAUGAGACAAGUGUUAUUUUAUGCCCUGAACACACCACUUUACAUGGUGGCUUUUAGCACUCUGUUUACAGAAAGCUAAACUUUCAUGUCUUAGAAAGGAAAUAGCUACAGGAGCCAAUUAAAGGACCAAACUGCUUUCUUAAAAUGUACCAGAACCUUAACAAAGUCCGCUAAAAUAUGACUUUCAGGAGGACAUGAGCAAUUGUUAUUUGAAAUCCAACAACACCACCAAAACUUUCUAGCCCUGUUUUGAUGUUCCUCCUCUAUUAGGAAGCUUAUAAUUAGUUUAUGAUACAUUUAUAAAGAAUCAAGAAGUAAUCAAUGAAGAAAUUAGUGACAUUUUAGUGAAUAAUUAGUGAAUAAUUAAUAAAUAAAUGAAUGAAGACAUAAUCUUCAUUAAUUAUAAAUGGCAUGAUAUGAUUGAUAGCCACACUAUCAAUCCCAAAGCCAUUUAGGUAGAAAUCUCCUCUGCUUGAAACAAUAGGAACUACAAAAGAAUAUUCAAGCUCUCUUCAAGGUAUUGAAAGAUUGUGCAUCUAUUGCAGGCCACUGCUCUGGUGUCCUAACUUUCAUUUUAUAAAGACUUGCAGUAUUCUGACUUACAGAACAAAAUAAUAGCUUUGAAUUGUAACAGUAGGUUAUGCAAAUAACAUAUAACCUUGACUGAUCAGAAAAUCUUGUAAUAUCCUAGAAUAAUGGACAAGUCUGAAAAGAACUUUUGCUUAGUUUUCUUUAUCUUUCUUUAUCCAUUACAAGGUAGUGGAUGACUGACCGCAGCCAUGAUUUUAGAAGAUAAUAUCUUCUUUAAGAGCAACUUCUAUGGGUAGAAGAGACAGUCAUGGCUUUGGCCAUGCAGAUUCUUAAAGAGAAACAACAGUUUCUAAGCAAUAGUAGAUGCUGAGAAUAACUGGUCUGAAUUAAACUUGUGUUAAGCAGACAAUUUGAAAGAAACAGUUGUUUGUGGCAUUGGAGAAAUAGGAGGUCUUAUCGUCGAGAGAGGCAAUCAUAUGGUUAUCUCCAACAAAACCAAAGAGACAUCCAGGUAAUUACUGGCCACUAAAAACCGAGAGGAUGAGUGGAACUGUUAUAGUAUAUCCUGUGUAAUAAAACCAAUGUCUGCAAUCAAUAUGCACAUUACAGUGCCUAGUAGAACUUUCUUCUGAAGACUGACUGUCCUAUUUAAGUGGGUCUCCACUGAGGGCAAAAGAGACUGAGAAGUCAUAGUUGUAAUAGUUGUUUUCUGAAAAGUAUUAUUUUCAUCAGUAACUGGAUGUUUCAGUAUAAAAUCAAAAGAUACUGGAUUUAUACUAUCAAUGUUAACUCUACUGCUAACAUCUUCUGCGUGCUACAGACACUGACAUUUUCUUCCAAAUCUUCUGAAUUAUAUUAUUAAGUACUUACUUUUCUACUUCCAUUGCAGACUUAAAGCAGUGCUUAUGCAUCUGGAAGAUAGACUAAUUUGGUCCAAAUUAUUAUUUUGUUUGACUUAAAAAAACCCUCUUCUUUUUCCUGUGAGUUUUGCCUUAUUAGAAGAGUUGUUAUGUCCACAGAGGAUUUGGUCCAAAGCCCAGUGAAGUUAAAGGACGCUGUUUUAAAUCAAAGUAAUGAUUGAGAUCUGGAUCAAGCUUGCAGUGAGGUAAAUUAAAUCCAGUGUUUUUGCAAAAAAAAUGUAAUUGCUUGCUAGAUUCCUAUCAGGAGACAAGCUGAAUUUGCCUUUGUAGUCUGUUUUACCAUCUUAGAUACGUCUAUUUAUCAAUGUGUAUUUAAACUUCCUGCAAUUAUACUCAUUUUAGCCAAUAACAGUGUAACUUAUUUGCUUUCUUUUGCUGUUUUCAUAUGCCACUCCUGACUCUAAGCUCUUUCAUAGUUUAAAAUUCAUAGCUAAACUUAUAAACCCUCUUGUAACCACUUAUUCAAUUAUCCUGAUAUUAGAGUGCCUAUUAAGAGCAAUAAAACUAAUACUGCAGACCUUGAGACUCCA
Long non-coding RNA from Calidris pugnax (ruff), 2499 nucleotides. RefSeq lists it as uncharacterized. Lineage: Eukaryota; Metazoa; Chordata; Aves; Charadriiformes; Scolopacidae. The record is from RefSeq and is a predicted model, not a curated record. The transcript is spliced from 6 exons.